Long non-coding RNA from Pecten maximus, 402 nucleotides. RefSeq lists it as uncharacterized. Lineage: Eukaryota; Metazoa; Mollusca; Bivalvia; Pectinida; Pectinidae. The transcript is spliced from 4 exons. The record is from RefSeq and is a predicted model, not a curated record.
UUCUAGUGACAGGAAAUCAUCCUAAAUCUAAAACAAUAUAUGCCAACUCAACACAUUUGUUUGGUGCCAGAUACCUUGGGAGAGGAAUUGAGAGUGAGACGGACCAAAAAUUUUGGAUAAUACAGCGUAUGCAUUUAGACCACUGGUUUAAACCUCAGCACCUUCGCCGUUUCAACGCCGACAUUAAUGAGUUUGCUGACAGUCUUGUACGCCAGAUGGAGCAGUGCGGACGGGAAAACACAUGUACCAAUGGAGAAGUUGCUUCAUAAAGUUACUCUCCAUCUUCUUUCUAAGGUUGCAUACAAUUUUGACCUCGGGAAGCUGGACGAAAAGUCUCAUCCUUUCGCAUAUUAUUUGGAGUUUGCAUUAUCUGCUUUUAUAAAGAAAGUGUUGGACCCGUUU